Molecule: long non-coding RNA, 238 nt
Filed under: Lathyrus oleraceus (garden pea)
Lineage: Eukaryota; Viridiplantae; Streptophyta; Magnoliopsida; Fabales; Fabaceae
Description: Pisum sativum (pea) long non-coding RNA (PSAT_LNC038065)
Source: RNAcentral
AGAAAGCAAGGCUAGGAGAAACUUCUGCAUUAAGACCUCCAGCGCCUCUGAAAGAAUCUUCUGGUAAGUCUGCCUCUACUAUUCCCUCUGUACAACCCUUAGCUUCUUCUACUCCUCUUUCAACCCCCAUCUACACCUCAUUUGAAACCCCUCCUUCUACAACCAGAACCUCACAACCUCUACCUAAAUUUAAUCUUGCUAAUACCACCUUACCACUAUCCGUAGUUGAAGAAUUAAA